Long non-coding RNA from Osmerus eperlanus (European smelt), 454 nucleotides. RefSeq lists it as uncharacterized. The record is from RefSeq and is a predicted model, not a curated record. NCBI's taxonomy places the organism in Eukaryota, Metazoa, Chordata, Actinopteri, Osmeriformes, Osmeridae. The transcript is spliced from 4 exons.
GAUGUGUCUCUGCAGUGUGGAGUCGCUGACGGUGAAGGCUUCCUCAGUCUCUGGCAGGUCAACCAAACCUCCUCCAAUCCUAAACCCUAUCUGAGUUGGCAGUGCCAUUCUAAGGCAUGUGGUGAUUUUGCCUUCAUCACGUCCUCCAGUCUCAUUGCCACGUGCCGGCCAGUCCAACGACAGCAGAAAUGUAUGCCUGUGGGACACCCUGGUAUCACCUAGCAACACCAUGGUGCAUGCCUUCCCCUGCCAUGACAACGGGGCGACGGUGCUGCAGUACGCCCCAAGCAGCAGCUCCUCAUCUCAGGGGGCAGAAAGGGCUUCGUGUGCGUGUUCGACAUCCGUCAGAGGCAGCUGCUCGACACCUUCCAGGCCCACGACUCGGCCAUCAAGGCCCUGGCCCUGGACGCCUCGGAGGACUUCUUCGUGACCGGAUCCGCGGAGGGCAACAUGA